Long non-coding RNA from Oreochromis niloticus (Nile tilapia), 1113 nucleotides. RefSeq lists it as uncharacterized. The transcript has 2 exons. The record is from RefSeq and is a predicted model, not a curated record. Lineage: Eukaryota; Metazoa; Chordata; Actinopteri; Cichliformes; Cichlidae.
CACACACACACACAAACACACACACACUACAACAAGUGCUGAACCAAACAGCAGUGUGGUCACAACACCGCACAGCAGAAGUGCCUCCUUUGGUGAAUGUAAUUUUUUUUUUCACUCUCUCAGCCUCUCAACUGCCGUGACAUCUGAUGGCUGAUGCUGAGCAGCAGCCAUUUCCGUAAGCAGUGAGUGAGGAGAAUGGGAAUAGAGGGAUGAGAGCUUGAUGGAGACAGAGUGGGAGAGUUGAAAAAAAAAACAGUGAAAGGGAGCGAAAGAGAGAGAGAUGUGGGUGGUUUUGAGCAGAGAGGAAAGAUGCUCUGCUCUGGAAGGCUGUGUGGGCGUUCGUUGCCGGCGAGGAGCUCAGGGAUGAGCCGAGCCGCCUGUGACCCUCUGUGGAGACUUUAACCCCUGGAUAACAGCUGCGCCGCACCUGGCCUGGACCAGAUCCCAGAGCCCCAAACAUGCAGGACUCCCACAAACCUCUUUCACAGCAACAGCAGGAACAAAUAGAUGCUAAGAGCACUCAGAGAGGCCCCGGAUGAAGAGAUGCCUACAGAUCAUCGAGUGGUCUUGAAAGCAUCACAUGAGAUCCUCUUGGAUGCACAUCAGAGGCAGCUCUUGUGGUGAAUUUUAUUCCACGGCUACCAGAACAUUGCUUCGAAAACAGAUUGUUCCAGUUGUAAAGCAAGAACAUAGAGACAAUGAGCAAACUGUUUUUUAUCAUCAGUGCAUGUUACAAGGUGCAUGUGUGCAAAAUGUGUAAAUGCACAAGUGUUCAUGGCUUGUAUCCUGUCAUAUAAAUGUUUAUAUUAGAUAGUUGACAGAAAAAAUGUGGUGAUUGAAGCAACUCUUAAAUCACCCAGUCUGAGAAAUCUGAAAAUCUUUGUGGAGACUUUUUUUAAAGAUUGUAUGCAAGUAUUUUUAACUCAUAUUUUUGUCACUGAAAUUGUUUUAAGGGAAGAAGCAAAUGAAUUUGUUUAAUUACUUUUGCGUUACUUUGUAACACAGGUCUGAGGUCAUGGUUCUCAGCCCCGAAUCGGGGAAGUGAGCUCUCAUUUUUGUAUCUCCUGCACAAACUAAAGUCAGCAUUAAAUAAAUAAAUGAAUCAAAUAAAAA